RNAcentral lists this ribosomal RNA (441 nucleotides) under uncultured bacterium. RNAcentral describes it as "partial 16S ribosomal RNA". It matches the Rfam family "Bacterial small subunit ribosomal RNA", at positions 338 to 795 of the family's 1533-position model. The record is from RNAcentral.
CCUACGGGAGACAGCAGUGGGGAAUAUUGCACAAUGGGGGAAACCCUGAUGCAGCGACGCCGCGUGAGUGAAGAAGUAUUUCGGUAUGUAAAGCUCUAGCAGCAGGGAAGAAGAAAGACGGUACCUGACUACGAAGCGCCGGCUAACUACGUGCCAGCAGCCGCGGUAAUACGUAGGGGGCAAGCGUUAUCCGGAUUUACUGGGUGGAAAGGGAGCGUAGACGGCUGUGCAAGUCUGAAGUGAAAGCCCAGGGCUCAACCCUGGGACUGCUUUGGAAACUGUGGAGCUAGAGUGCUGGAGAGGUAAGUGGAAUUCCUAGUGUAGCGGUGAAAUGCGUAGAUAUUAGGAGGAACACCAGUGGCGAAGGCGGCUUACUGGACAGUAACUGACGUUGAGGCUCGAAAGCGUGGGGAGCAAACAGGAUUAGAUACCCUGGUAGUC